Long non-coding RNA from Arabidopsis thaliana (thale cress), 344 nucleotides. RefSeq annotates it as other RNA. The record is from RefSeq. NCBI's taxonomy places the organism in Eukaryota, Viridiplantae, Streptophyta, Magnoliopsida, Brassicales, Brassicaceae. The transcript has a single exon.
CUCAACCCUAUAUAGAUGGGGGGGGGGGGUUUCUACGCUUCAUGCAUAUAUCUUGAGGUUAGCGAGUUGCCGGAGAUUGAUCGGAUAAAUAUCGGAGGUGUCGCCGGAGAGUAGACGCCUAGCAAUGAUGAUGUUAGCAGCUUCGGUAGGAUGGUAAGGAUCCCAAAAUACAUAUUUGGAACGGUCCAUACAUACUUUUGAAGGCGGGCCGCAUGGAAUCAGCCCACCUACUUUCCCAACUAACGAACAACAAGGAAUCUUCUCACUCUCAAAACCUACAAUAUCAAAUCACAAAAUUCAUACGUUUAAAUCUGAAAGAAGUUUCAAAACAUUAUCAGAAAGUC